GCGGAUAUGGCGGAAUUGGCAGACGCGUUAGAUUCAGGUUCUAAUGGAUGCAAGUCCAUGCAGGUUCAAGUCCUGUUAUCCGCA
Molecule: transfer RNA, 84 nt
Filed under: Eubacteriaceae bacterium CHKCI005
Lineage: Bacteria; Bacillati; Bacillota; Clostridia; Eubacteriales; Eubacteriaceae
Rfam family: tRNA
About the family: Transfer RNA (tRNA) molecules are approximately 80 nucleotides in length. Their secondary structure includes four short double-helical elements and three loops (D, anti-codon, and T loops).
Source: Rfam by way of RNAcentral